GCGACAGAAGUUGUCCGUGUCCAUAUAUUUUCGUGUGCAGUUUAUUGUCGGUCGGUCGCGGCUUGUAUCACAAUAUCAGUCUUGGUGCUGCAUGGAAGACUAAUGCUGCUACGUCUGCAAUAAAAGACAACAGUAUUUUAAUAUUGUAUCAGUGAAGAAAUGUAAAAAUAUCAAAGUAAAUCCCGAAAAUUUUUCUAAAGAACUGGUCGUACAAGGGUCGUAUUCCACCACCAGCCUGCGUAUUUUUCGAAGACAUCAUGCGUUACAAUUGGAAGAGUGAAACAGUUAAUCCGACGUUUUGAAGGGGGUCAAAAUCAUGUUCAAAGAUUCCGUUACAAACAUACACACGUCUGAAGCUAAUAAAAGCGUAUUAAAAAUACAGCUUUGGUUGAGUUUCGGGGAAGAAGGGUGAAGAUCUCAAAAAACUACUCAUUACCGGCAAAGAAGAAGGAAUGAGGCUAGGGGGCCAUGCACUGGUACGAUCAAAUUACGACGACAUUUGACUCCAGCAUCAGUGUAGCUAUCCACUGCGCAGACAGGAAAGAUUUGACGAAAAUAGUCCUAGCAAAAGUGCUCCGUAAAGGUCACAACGCUGAGCGCUAAGGAACACGAUGCAUCGUGGAAAUUAUUGAGAUUUUAUUCUAGUAUUGCGAAGAAAGAUAAUAAAAGAAGGAACCGCAUAUUUUCAUUUUCAAAAUCGAAAGUCAAUAAUAAUAAUAAACAAUUAAAUUUUUGGUAUUGCACCAACGAAAUUCUUCGGGGUCAACGGCCAGUACGAGAGUCUUGCUUUAGAUUACGGUUUCAUAAAACUGCUAUUAUAUCUGUUUUGCUUAUGAUUGAUUACCAUACAGUGUGACGACUACGAAUGCAACAUCUUCUAUCAUGGGUGUUGGAAACUUGGGUUUCUUGAAUAAAACUUCCAAAUCGAUCUUAAA
Molecule: long non-coding RNA, 935 nt
Organism: Bombyx mori (domestic silkworm)
Lineage: Eukaryota; Metazoa; Arthropoda; Insecta; Lepidoptera; Bombycidae
Exons: 4
Source: RefSeq, a predicted model, not a curated record